Molecule: long non-coding RNA, 203 nt
Filed under: Elaeis guineensis (African oil palm)
Lineage: Eukaryota; Viridiplantae; Streptophyta; Magnoliopsida; Arecales; Arecaceae
Description: long non-coding RNA (EGUI_LNC016069)
Source: RNAcentral
CUCCUAAAUGUUUUAGCUGCUACCUGUUGACAUUCUAUUAUUCUUUCAUCGUAAAGUUCUUUCAUCAUAAAAUCCGCUACUACACAUGGAAAUUGACCUCGAAUAUCUUCCGUGAAACAAUUACUGAGAUUUGGAGAAUUUACUUGGUGAUGCCAUUAAUUAGAAAUGACUUGAGCUGAAUCAAAUUUGUUGUCAACUCGUGC